This 495-nucleotide ribosomal RNA is filed under the name uncultured bacterium. RNAcentral describes it as "bacterial SSU rRNA". It matches the Rfam family "Bacterial small subunit ribosomal RNA", at positions 903 to 1397 of the family's 1533-position model. The record is from RNAcentral.
AAAUGAAUUGACGGGGGCCCGCACAAGCGGUGGAGCAUGUGGUUUAAUUCGAUGCAACGCGAAGAACCUUACCAUCCCUUGACAUCCAGAGAAUCUUUCAGAGAUGAGAGAGUGCCUUCGGGAACUCUGAGACAGGUGCUGCAUGGCUGUCGUCAGCUCGUGUUGUGAGAUGUUGGGUUAAGUCCCGCAACGAGCGCAACCCUUAUCCUUAGUUGCCAGCACAUAAUGGUGGGAACUCUAGGGAGACUGCCGGUGAUAAACCGGAGGAAGGUGGGGACGACGUCAAGUCAUCAUGGCCCUUACGGGAUGGGCUACACACGUGCUACAAUGGCGCACACAAAGGGCAGCUAACUAGCGAUAGUAUGCGAAUCUCAAAAAGUGCGUCGUAGUCCGGAUCGGAGUCUGCAACUCGACUCCGUGAAGUAGGAAUCGCUAGUAAUCGUGGAUCAGAAUGCCACGGUGAAUACGUUCCCGGGCCUUGUACACACCGCCCGU